Molecule: non-coding RNA, 23 nt
Filed under: Cricetulus griseus (Chinese hamster)
Lineage: Eukaryota; Metazoa; Chordata; Mammalia; Rodentia; Cricetidae
Source: RNAcentral
ACAGUGGGACUGCAAGUAGAGCA